UUUUAUGGAGAGUUUGAUCCUGGCUCAGGACGAACGCUGGCGGCGUGCCUAAUACAUGCAAGUCGAGCGGACGAAUUUUCGGUGCUUGCACCGAAUUUUCGUUAGCGGCGGACGGGUGAGUAACACGUGGGUAACCUACCUUAUAGAUUGGGAUAACUCCGGGAAACCGGGGCUAAUACCRAAUAAUACUUUUUAACACAUGUUUGAAAGUUGAAAGACGGUUUUGCUGUCACUAUAAGAUGGACCCGCGGCGCAUUAGCUAGUUGGUGAGGUAACGGCUCACCAAGGCAACGAUGCGUAGCCGACCUGAGAGGGUGAUCGGCCACACUGGGACUGAGACACGGCCCAGACUCCUACGGGAGGCAGCAGUAGGGAAUCUUCCACAAUGGACGAAAGUCUGAUGGAGCAACGCCGCGUGAGUGAAGAAGGAUUUCGGUUCGUAAAACUCUGUUGCAAGGGAAGAACAAGUAGCGUAGUAACUGGCGCUACCUUGACGGUACCUUGUUAGAAAGCCACGGCUAACU
This 524-nucleotide ribosomal RNA is filed under the name Solibacillus silvestris. RNAcentral describes it as "bacterial SSU rRNA". It matches the Rfam family "Bacterial small subunit ribosomal RNA", at positions 1 to 502 of the family's 1533-position model. The record is from RNAcentral. Lineage: Bacteria; Bacillati; Bacillota; Bacilli; Caryophanales; Caryophanaceae.